RNAcentral lists this non-coding RNA (26 nucleotides) under Rattus norvegicus (Norway rat). Lineage: Eukaryota; Metazoa; Chordata; Mammalia; Rodentia; Muridae. The record is from RNAcentral.
UGAGCCAAGUUUGGACCAAAGGGCUG